GGCUUGAGGGCUAUCUGGUUACAUCUGUCACUCCACUGAUGGCCAGGGUGGAUUGGCUGAUCUGGCUGCCUCGGCAGGUGUUCCGUUCCUCCCUCCCCACGGCUCCGUGCGUGUCCCUCCCAGAGCUGCAUGCUCAGUUGAUCAAAAGGACAAUCUUCCCUGCUAGAGGAGGAUGGUUCUUUGGUCAGGGGUGUAUAAGUACCUAAGCUCUCUUGGUAGGACCUUCAAACAAGCUCUCAGGGCCCAUUUGUAGAAGAAAAUGAGACUCCAGACACAUCCAAAUAAGGCACUGUGUGUGGUAGUCUGUCUUU
RNAcentral lists this small nuclear RNA (311 nucleotides) under Propithecus coquereli (Coquerel's sifaka). Its description in RNAcentral is "7SK RNA (ENSPCOG00000001164.1)". It matches the Rfam family "7SK RNA". From Rfam's summary of the family: 7SK was discovered as an abundant small nuclear RNA in the mid-70s but a possible function has only recently been suggested. Two independent studies have found that 7SK RNA binds the CDK9/cyclin T complex (known as elongation factor P-TEFb). The record is from RNAcentral. Lineage: Eukaryota; Metazoa; Chordata; Mammalia; Primates; Indriidae.